RNAcentral lists this long non-coding RNA (335 nucleotides) under Zea mays. Its description in RNAcentral is "long non-coding RNA (ZMAY_LNC002941)". The record is from RNAcentral. Lineage: Eukaryota; Viridiplantae; Streptophyta; Magnoliopsida; Poales; Poaceae.
GGUGCCCUGAGGCUUGCCAAAGGCACCCCUCAUUCCAGUCUGGAGCCUAUCAGCCCCGGCACAGGAAAGCAUCUUGUUGAUACGGAGGACAUGGAACGGGUGAACCCGGACCCUAAGGUGGAAGGCAUCCUUUCCUGCAGACUUGGUCAUGUACUUGUUGCAGGCAAUGCGGGCAGCCUCGAGCGCCUCACUGGAGACAUUCUCCUUCUCCCAAGAGACAAGGUGCACACAGUAGGGGAACUCAUCAACACCCUUCCUCUUCAUCCCGACAUCGUAGAUCCUGAUCUUGGGGUCAGGGACACCACGGCAGUACCUGGACUUAGGGUACGGCUUGU